CGAGGACGAACGCUGGCGGCGUGCCUAACACAUGCAAGUCGAACGGACUGAUUCGCUCGGUGAUGAAAGUCAGUGGCGGACGGGUGAGUAACGCGUGAGUAACCUGCCUUACAGAGGGGGGAUAACGUUGGAAACGAACGCUAAUACCGCAUAACACAUCGUUGUCGCAUGGCAGUGAUGUCAAAGGAGUAACAUCCGCUGUAAGAUGGACUCGCGUCCGAUUAGAUAGUUGGCGGGGUAACGGCCCACCAAGUCGACGAUCGGUAGCCGGACUGAGAGGUUGAACGGCCACAUUGGGACUGAGACACGGCCCAGACUCCUACGGGAGGCAGCAGUGAGGGAUAUUGCACAAUGGGCGCAAGCCUGAUGCAGCAACGCCCGCGUGAGGGAUGACGGUUUUCGGAUUGUAAACCUCUGUUCUCAGUGAUGAUAAUGACAUUAGCUGAGGAGAAAGCCACGGCUAACUACGUGCCAGCCGCAGC
This 482-nucleotide ribosomal RNA is filed under the name uncultured bacterium. RNAcentral's name for it is "bacterial SSU rRNA". It matches the Rfam family "Bacterial small subunit ribosomal RNA", at positions 26 to 518 of the family's 1533-position model. The record is from RNAcentral.